GCUCGGGCCUCACCACACACCUCAUACACACACCUGAUGCACACACACCUGACACAUCCCCAGAAACCACACCUCGAACACCAGACACAUCCAAACACACACCUCACACACAUCCCAGACACACACCUCACACAAACACCCCCCACACACACACCUCACAAACACCCCAAACACCUGACACACACACACCCCAGAAUCACACAUCUCGAACACCAGACACAUCCAAACACACCCCAGACACACACACCCCAGACACACACCCAACACACACCCGACACACACACCACACACACCUCACACACACCCCAGACACACACACACCUGACACACCCGACACACCCCCAGAAUCACACACCUCAAACACCACAUUCAAACACACACCUCACACACACCCGACACACACCUGACACACACGUGACACACACACCUGACACACCCCCAGAAACAUACACCUGACACACACCUCACACACACCCAACAACACAUAUACCUGAUACACACCCCAGGCACACAUUUGACACACACACCCCACACACCUGACACACAUACCCCAGAAACACCUCAAACAACAGAUACAUCCAAACACACACCUCACACACACCUGACACACACACCCUAGUAAUACACACAUCAAAUACCAGACAUCCAAACACACAUCUCACACACACCUCAGACACACACACAGCUGACACACACCUGACAGCCCCCAGAAACACACAUUUCAAACACCAGACACAUCCAGACACACACCUCACACACACCCCAGACACACACACACCUGAGACACACCCCACACACCUAACCCGCACCCCACACACCUGACCCACACCCCAGAAACACACAUCUGACACACACCCCAGACACACACACCUGACACUCUCCCCAGAAACACCUCAAACACCAAAUACAUCUAAACACACAAUUCACACACACCCCAGAUAUACCUCACACACACACCCCAGACAUACCUCACACACACACACCUGACACCCCAGAAACACACCUCACACACCAGACACACCCACACAUCUCACAUACACGACACGCACCUGACACCCACCCCAGAAACACACAUCUCACACACCAGACACCCAAACACACCUCACACACACCCCUGACACACACCCCACACCUGACACACACACCUGACCCACACCCCAGAAACACACACCUUAAACAGCAGAAACACCCAAACACACCCCCCCACACACCUGACACACCUGAUGCCCAUCUGACACAUACCCCAGAAACACACCAGACACACCCAAACACACUCACCUCAAACACAUCCCUGACACACACACACCACACACCUGACAUACACACACCUGACCCACACCCCAGACACACACCUGACACACACCCCAGAAAUACACACCUCACACACCAGACACACCCAAACACACACCUCACACACGCCACACACCCCUCAGACAGACGCCUCACACACCAGCCAUACACACAUCACAUACACCUCUCACACACACCCCCAACACACACCUCACACACACCUCACACACGCUCUUGACCCAUACAGUUCACACACCAGACACACCCAAACACACACACCUCACACACCCAAGACACACCCACACACGCCCCAACACACACCUGACACCAGUCACCCAGGAAACACGCUUCACACACACCACACACCCAGACACACACCGCAAACACCACACAACGACACAUACACCCAAACACCCCAGACACACAUACCUCACAUCAGACACCACAUACCCAACACACCUCACAUAUACCCUAGACACACCAGAAACACACACCUACCAAACACACACACACCAGACACACCCCCUGCAGACCUGACACACCCACACCUGACACACACCUCACACACCAAAACACCCUAGACACACAUCCCAAACACUGGACACACACCUCACACACACACACUAGACACACCCCCAUACACACCUUACAGACACACCAGACACACGCCACACACACCUCACACCACACACCUGACACAUACAUGAUACACACCCGACACACAGACACACCCUGGACUCAUACCCCGGAUGCGCACCACACACCCCCCCCAGACACACCUCACAAAUGCACCCCACAUACUGCUUACACACCAGACACACCUGACAUGCACACCCCAAACACCUCACACAUCCCAGACACACACAACUCACACACAUGCCUGACACAUACACCAGAUACACACCCCAGACACACACAUCCCAUGCACACCUCACACAUGCAUCAGACACACACAACCCAGAUACACACCUCACAAACGCACCACACACCCCCAGAUCUACACACCUGACACAACCCUCACACACCUAACACACACCCUCACACACCUAACACACACACCUCACACAAACACUCCACAUACCUCAGGCACACACACCCCAGACACACACAUGCUCGAAACACGCACCUCCCAUGCACAUACACCCUCACACACCUCACGCACACACCAGCCACACAUGCCUGACAUAUACUCGACACACACAUCCCUUACACACUCCAGACACACACGCCUGACAUACAACUCACACACACUUCACACAUGCACACCUGACACAUGUAUCCCUGACCUGCACACACACCCUUCACACAUACACCCUAGACACACCCUGGAUCCACCCACUCUUGACACACACCCUAGACACUGACAACCCCACACACAAACCCUUGACACACACCCCAGACACCUCCAAACACCCCUCACACAUAUAUCCCAGAUGCACACACACCCCUACACACCUCAGGCACACACACUCCUGACACAUGCACCCCAUGCACCCUCCCACACAGGUGGCACACAUUCCUCACACACACCUGACACACACCUGACUCAGACACACCUGUCACCCCAGCAGACACCUGACACACUCAAAACACCUCUCACACCUGACACACAUCACGCAAACAUUUCACUUACCUCACACACCUGACAGCCCUCACGCACACCUCACACACACCUGACAUACACAUGUGACACACACACAUCUCACACAUACACACCCUCACGCACACGCACACACGCUCGCCGCCUCACUGUGCAGGGGCAGGUGCCCUGGCCAGCUCAACCCUGGCUGCUCCUUGGUCUGGGGCCCCCCCCAGAGUCUCCAGGUGGACCUUGGGUGGAUGCUCAGACUCCCCCGUCCCCUCCGCCUUUGUGCUGGGUCAGACCCAGCUGGGUUUGGCUCUCACUCACCCUGAGGAUGGCCCUGGCGCCCGCAUGGUGCCCAGCACACAGAAGGCGCUCCAUAGGCAUUUGCCUGAGUGCGGCUCCCAGCU
Molecule: long non-coding RNA, 3282 nt
Filed under: Homo sapiens (human)
Lineage: Eukaryota; Metazoa; Chordata; Mammalia; Primates; Hominidae
Description: HSALNT0360821
Source: RNAcentral